UAUAUAGGACAGACCAAACUGUGUAGCAAUUACAUUUAUUUUGAUAUAUAUAUUAUUGUAUGUUAUUGCGAUUUAUUAUUAGUGUGUUUGUAUUUAAUGAUUUUUAAGAUUUUUCAAUUUGACUCCUCGUUUUUGAAAAUUAUGCAAAUAAUAAUAUUAACGACCUCAGAGUAGGGGGAAACCCUACCCCCUAAAUUUACAGCAU
This 205-nucleotide ribosomal RNA is filed under the name Aphidius colemani. Its description in RNAcentral is "partial 28S ribosomal RNA". The record is from RNAcentral. Lineage: Eukaryota; Metazoa; Arthropoda; Insecta; Hymenoptera; Braconidae.